AGUAGUCACGUAGUUGAUCAUGGCUCAAGAACGAACGCUGGCGGCAUGCCUAACACAUGCAAGUCGAACGAGACCAUCGGGUCUAGUGGCGCACGGGUGCGUAACGCGUGGGAACCUGCCUUUAGGUUCGGAAUAACUCAGAGAAAUUUGAGCUAAUACCGGAUAAUGUCUUCGGACCAAAGAUUUAUCGCCUUUAGAUGGGCCCGCGUUGGAUUAGCUAGUUGGUGGGGUAAAGGCCUACCAAGGCGACGAUCCAUAGCUGGUCUGAGAGGAUGAUCAGCCACACUGGGACUGAGACACGGCCCAGACUCCUACGGGAGGCAGCAGUGGGGAAUAUUGGACAAUGGGCGAAAGGCCUGAUCCAGCAAUGCCGCGUGAGUGAUGAAGGCCUUAGGGUUGUAAAGCUCUUUUACCCGAGAUGAUAAUGACAGUAUCGGGAGAAUAAGCUCCGGCUAACUCCGUG
RNAcentral lists this ribosomal RNA (463 nucleotides) under uncultured bacterium. Its description in RNAcentral is "bacterial SSU rRNA". It matches the Rfam family "Bacterial small subunit ribosomal RNA", at positions 1 to 507 of the family's 1533-position model. The record is from RNAcentral.